Molecule: small nuclear RNA, 104 nt
Filed under: Zalophus californianus (California sea lion)
Lineage: Eukaryota; Metazoa; Chordata; Mammalia; Carnivora; Otariidae
Source: RNAcentral
GUGCUCAUUUCAGCAGCACAUAUACUAAAAUUGGAACAAUACAGAGAAGAUUAUCAUGGCCCCUGUGUAAGGAUAACAUUGCCUGAGAUCUGUUCUCGUCUUCU